AACGAACGCUGGCGGCAUGCCUAACACAUGCAAGUCGAACGAGACCUUCGGGACUAGUGGCGCACGGGUGCGUAACGCGUGGGAACCUGCCCUUAGGUUCGGAAUAACUCCCCGAAAGGGGUGCUAAUACCGGAUAAUGUCUUCGGACCAAAGAUUUGUCGACUUUGGAUGGGCCCGCGUUGGAUUAGCUAGUUGGUAGGGUAAAAGCCUACCAAGGCGACGAUCCAUAGCUGGUCUGAGGGGAUGAUCAGCCACACUGGGACUGAGACACGGCCCAGACUCCUACGGGAGGCAGGAGUGGGGAAUAUUGGACAACGGGCGAAAGGCUGAUCCAGCAAGGCCGGGUGAGUGAUGAAGUCCUUAGGGUUGUAAAGCUCUUUUACCCGGGAUGAUAAUGACAGUACCGGGAGAAUAAGCUCCGGCUAACUCCGUG
RNAcentral lists this ribosomal RNA (433 nucleotides) under uncultured bacterium. RNAcentral describes it as "partial 16S ribosomal RNA". It matches the Rfam family "Bacterial small subunit ribosomal RNA", at positions 29 to 507 of the family's 1533-position model. The record is from RNAcentral.